AAAUCGCCUGUCAAUUUUUUUUUCAUAAUUAUCAAUAAACAAACUAAAUUGUAUUAAAUUUUGAAGCUUACAGAACCUUACAGGAAGACCGUUAGUCGGAGGGUUCACUAGCUCUUGGACUAGAAGGGUGCGGGCGUGUCGCGAAAUGACGAUGGUGCAAUAGCGUAUAGCGACAUCGAACAACAAUGUCAAACAAUAUUUUUCCACUUUCCAAUGGUAUACAUAGCUUUAAAACAAACUACUAAGGAGCUAAGAGAGAAAUGCUGUUAUAUAGCAACGUUGCUGAUGCGUUAAUGAUAUUACGGAGGAUAUUAAACAAUUAACACCGGCGAAAAUAACACAAGACCCCUAUCAUGACAUUUUGAACAAACGUUGAAAGAAAUAAGCGUAAUAGUAUUGACGUCAUAGCUCUGCGGUUAUGGUUUUUUUACUGUUGUUAUUAUUAGUUAGAGUGGAUCUUAUCUCUGGUGUAUUUAAAAGUACAUUAUAUUAAUUGCAAGAUAUAAAUACGACACGCAAGUUAUGUGACUUUUCAAGAGAACUUCUAUCGCGAGACAUAACGAGAAAUUACUCACAAAUUAAUACCAAAAAAAUGCUAUAAUUAAUUUGACUCCAUUUAUAGUUUGUUUUGAUUCAUCAGUCGUAUCCGAAUAAUUAACUCUAUAAAUUUGACAUACUUUUAAUGUUGUUUAUGUGAUUUUAAAAGUCCAAACCACUUUCAAAUAUUAAUAUGAUGUCACACAAU
Long non-coding RNA from Anthonomus grandis grandis, 745 nucleotides. RefSeq lists it as uncharacterized. The record is from RefSeq and is a predicted model, not a curated record. Lineage: Eukaryota; Metazoa; Arthropoda; Insecta; Coleoptera; Curculionidae. The transcript is spliced from 3 exons.